AAAAUGUCUCUAGCAGGCACUCUGCCCUAUGCCUGGCAAACUCUUGUGACUUUAGUCAGUGAGUCAGUAAAGAUUACUUUUGGGGUGUGUCUGUGAGUGGGGUGGGGUAUUAGUGUCUUCUUUCCAGCCAAGGGACCACCUGUCACCCCACCCAGACCCUGUGUGUUCUGCUGUGUGGCCUCUCUCACAGCUGCUGCACCCACCCAUCCUCAGCUGUGGUUGCGUCACUGGGAGGAUGAAGGGAUCCCCCUGUACCAGCGCACGUGGUUUUGUUUGCGAUCAGAGGGGCCCCAGGAGAAAACACAGGAGCUAGCCAACGAAGCUCACGUUUCCUGGUUUUCAAUGUUAUGUUCUGCAGGAGGGCCGUCUGCAUGACGAAGAGAUAUAGCACAAGCCGAGAGUGCUGUUUGCUGGGGUUAUGAGUCUGUUUGCUGCUGUGUUGUGAGCUUUGCUCCCAAGGCAGCAUGGGAGGGGUUUGGGUUGCUCCUUUCAUUCUCUUAAGAGAUGAAAGGUCAGUGAGCAAUUGUGGGAACACCCCCUACCCUUGCCAAGUGGGGAGUGUUUAGGCUGUGCCUGGCAGGAAAAGUCUACUGACUCACUUGGGACAGAAGUAGGUGGAGGGGUGUAAAACCCUCAACCCCUAAACAAAGCAAUAGAAUCUCCAGACUGCAGGCCUUGACUCAUGAAGCUGAGACACUCAGGAUGACCUUGUUGUCAUUUAGCACUACACUCACAGCUGGCAGGACCUGGGCCAAGAGAGCAUUACGUGUCUUCCUUAUCUCUCUGGAAAUCUAAGCUGCCCAGAUGAUCGUCUUCCGAGAAGGAAUUUGUAGUUCUGUAUCUUUAAGAGCAUCCCUCUUGUUUCUCAGUCUGCAAAACAGGAGGAAGGAUGGGAUUUGAAAUUUACCCUGACUCUUCUGGAGAUCUGUGAUGGCCAGUCUUGGAUGUUACCUUAACACAAUUCAGUCUUGCAUUCUUCAACAGUUUCUGCGUCAAGCUCCUGACUUGAGUUCGUACCUUACUUUGCCUUGAAGAUGGACCAUAGCCUGUAAGAUAUUAAUAUUUGUGGUUAUACAAAAUAUUAGACCUAGAUAUUAGCUUUGAGGCUAUUUGGAUAAAAUAAAUACAUUUAUGAAAGACAUGAGCUCAUAGGUUGACUAUCUGGGUCCCAGAUAAUGGUGAUAAUUGAGAAAGUAUUGGAAACGUAGGAGAUGGGACUUAGUUGCCAGAAGUUUUGUCUAGAAUGCUCAGGUUUUCAAAGAUAGGGCCACAAAGUUAGGCCUUUGGAUGUAUACUCCUAAGAAGGAAUAGUAGAAUUAUUACAGGAUCCAGGUUAGUUCUCAUGUGGGCAAGUUAUUAUAAAGUAAAAACAAUACAAAACAAAACAACCCCAAACUCUGAGUACUAAAUGGUACAUCUCUCUUCCCUCUUUUUACUUUUCCUUGCCUCUCUCCUCCUUUCCCCCUGAGCACUCCUACUUUUCUCCAUUUUUUAAUUAGAAGUUGGCAUAUAUAAUGAUGGAGACAGAAGUUUCAUGAUACUGUUAUAAAUUUGAGCCCUUCUAAAACCAGUAGAUAAAUUUUGGAACCCAAAUUCCUAAAUGUUAAGAAAUUUAAGAGAAAAUUCCAAUGUGAGGAUGAAAAACCAAGAACCCAGACUGGGAUAAGAGAUAUUUGUGUAGAUUCUACAAUAUAAAAAACCUUGAAAGUCCAUUUACCAAGACCAGUAAAAUAUGGGUGUCAUAAAUCAGUAGAUAUUUCAGAGAACUCAUGCAAGUUCAUAGCAGAGCAGUUAUCAAGCUUCCAGUAUCAUAUCCCUAGAAAAGAGUUCAAAGCUGAAAUUAUUAAACAAUUGAAAGGGAGAGAGGAAGAAGAGGGAGGGAGA
This is a long non-coding RNA of Mus musculus (house mouse), 1884 nucleotides long. RefSeq annotates it as predicted gene, 38516. The record is from RefSeq and is a predicted model, not a curated record. The transcript is spliced from 3 exons. Lineage: Eukaryota; Metazoa; Chordata; Mammalia; Rodentia; Muridae.